Molecule: ribosomal RNA, 2921 nt
Filed under: Staphylococcus aureus SJOS6027
Lineage: Bacteria; Bacillati; Bacillota; Bacilli; Caryophanales; Staphylococcaceae
Description: bacterial LSU rRNA
Rfam family: Bacterial large subunit ribosomal RNA
Source: RNAcentral
UUAAGUUAUUAAGGGCGCACGGUGGAUGCCUUGGCACUAGAAGCCGAUGAAGGACGUUACUAACGACGAUAUGCUUUGGGGAGCUGUAAGUAAGCUUUGAUCCAGAGAUUUCCGAAUGGGGAAACCCAGCAUGAGUUAUGUCAUGUUAUCGAUAUGUGAAUACAUAGCAUAUCAGAAGGCACACCCGGAGAACUGAAACAUCUUAGUACCCGGAGGAAGAGAAAGAAAAUUCGAUUCCCUUAGUAGCGGCGAGCGAAACGGGAAGAGCCCAAACCAACAAGCUUGCUUGUUGGGGUUGUAGGACACUCUAUACGGAGUUACAAAGGACGACAUUAGACGAAUCAUCUGGAAAGAUGAAUCAAAGAAGGUAAUAAUCCUGUAGUCGAAAAUGUUGUCUCUCUUGAGUGGAUCCUGAGUACGACGGAGCACGUGAAAUUCCGUCGGAAUCUGGGAGGACCAUCUCCUAAGGCUAAAUACUCUCUAGUGACCGAUAGUGAACCAGUACCGUGAGGGAAAGGUGAAAAGCACCCCGGAAGGGGAGUGAAAUAGAACCUGAAACCGUGUGCUUACAAGUAGUCAGAGCCCGUUAAUGGGUGAUGGCGUGCCUUUUGUAGAAUGAACCGGCGAGUUACGAUUUGAUGCAAGGUUAAGCAGUAAAUGUGGAGCCGUAGCGAAAGCGAGUCUGAAUAGGGCGUUUAGUAUUUGGUCGUAGACCCGAAACCAGGUGAUCUACCCUUGGUCAGGUUGAAGUUCAGGUAACACUGAAUGGAGGACCGAACCGACUUACGUUGAAAAGUGAGCGGAUGAACUGAGGGUAGCGGAGAAAUUCCAAUCGAACCUGGAGAUAGCUGGUUCUCUCCGAAAUAGCUUUAGGGCUAGCCUCAAGUGAUGAUUAUUGGAGGUAGAGCACUGUUUGGACGAGGGGCCCCUCUCGGGUUACCGAAUUCAGACAAACUCCGAAUGCCAAUUAAUUUAACUUGGGAGUCAGAACAUGGGUGAUAAGGUCCGUGUUCGAAAGGGAAACAGCCCAGACCACCAGCUAAGGUCCCAAAAUAUAUGUUAAGUGGAAAAGGAUGUGGCGUUGCCCAGACAACUAGGAUGUUGGCUUAGAAGCAGCCAUCAUUUAAAGAGUGCGUAAUAGCUCACUAGUCGAGUGACACUGCGCCGAAAAUGUACCGGGGCUAAACAUAUUACCGAAGCUGUGGAUUGUCCUUUGGACAAUGGUAGGAGAGCGUUCUAAGGGCGUUGAAGCAUGAUCGUAAGGACAUGUGGAGCGCUUAGAAGUGAGAAUGCCGGUGUGAGUAGCGAAAGACGGGUGAGAAUCCCGUCCACCGAUUGACUAAGGUUUCCAGAGGAAGGCUCGUCCGCUCUGGGUUAGUCGGGUCCUAAGCUGAGGCCGACAGGCGUAGGCGAUGGAUAACAGGUUGAUAUUCCUGUACCACCUAUAAUCGUUUUAAUCGAUGGGGGGACGCAGUAGGAUAGGCGAAGCGUGCGAUUGGAUUGCACGUCUAAGCAGUAAGGCUGAGUAUUAGGCAAAUCCGGUACUCGUUAAGGCUGAGCUGUGAUGGGUAGAAGACAUUGUGUCUUCGAGUCGUUGAUUUCACACUGCCGAGAAAAGCCUCUAGAUAGAAAAUAGGUGCCCGUACCGCAAACCGACACAGGUAGUCAAGAUGAGAAUUCUAAGGUGAGCGAGCGAACUCUCGUUAAGGAACUCGGCAAAAUGACCCCGUAACUUCGGGAGAAGGGGUGCUCUUUAGGGUUAACGCCCAGAAGAGCCGCAGUGAAUAGGCCCAAGCGACUGUUUAUCAAAAACACAGGUCUCUGCUAAACCGUAAGGUGAUGUAUAGGGGCUGACGCCUGCCCGGUGCUGGAAGGUUAAGAGGAGUGGUUAGCUUCUGCGAAGCUACGAAUCGAAGCCCCAGUAAACGGCGGCCGUAACUAUAACGGUCCUAAGGUAGCGAAAUUCCUUGUCGGGUAAGUUCCGACCCGCACGAAAGGCGUAACGAUUUGGGCACUGUCUCAACGAGAGACUCGGUGAAAUCAUAGUACCUGUGAAGAUGCAGGUUACCCGCGACAGGACGGAAAGACCCCGUGGAGCUUUACUGUAGCCUGAUAUUGAAAUUCGGCACAGCUUGUACAGGAUAGGUAGGAGCCUUUGAAACGUGAGCGCUAGCUUACGUGGAGGCGCUGGUGGGAUACUACCCUAGCUGUGUUGGCUUUCUAACCCGCACCACUUAUCGUGGUGGGAGACAGUGUCAAGCGGGCAGUUUGACUGGGGCGGUCGCCUCCUAAAAGGUAACGGAGGCGCUCAAAGGUUCCCUCAGAAUGGUUGGAAAUCAUUCAUAGAGUGUAAAGGCAUAAGGGAGCUUGACUGCGAGACCUACAAGUCGAGCAGGGUCGAAAGACGGACUUAGUGAUCCGGUGGUUCCGCAUGGAAGGGCCAUCGCUCAACGGAUAAAAGCUACCCCGGGGAUAACAGGCUUAUCUCCCCCAAGAGUUCACAUCGACGGGGAGGUUUGGCACCUCGAUGUCGGCUCAUCGCAUCCUGGGGCUGUAGUCGGUCCCAAGGGUUGGGCUGUUCGCCCAUUAAAGCGGUACGCGAGCUGGGUUCAGAACGUCGUGAGACAGUUCGGUCCCUAUCCGUCGUGGGCGUAGGAAAUUUGAGAGGAGCUGUCCUUAGUACGAGAGGACCGGGAUGGACAUACCUCUGGUGUACCAGUUGUCGUGCCAACGGCAUAGCUGGGUAGCUAUGUGUGGACGGGAUAAGUGCUGAAAGCAUCUAAGCAUGAAGCCCCCCUCAAGAUGAGAUUUCCCAACUUCGGUUAUAAGAUCCCUCAAAGAUGAUGAGGUUAAUAGGUUCGAGGUGGAAGCAUGGUGACAUGUGGAGCUGACGAAUACUAAUCGAUCGAAGACUUAAUCAA